Molecule: ribosomal RNA, 900 nt
Filed under: uncultured bacterium
Lineage: Bacteria
Description: bacterial SSU rRNA
Rfam family: Bacterial small subunit ribosomal RNA
Source: RNAcentral
AGCGGCGUACGGGUGAGUAACACGUGGAUAAUCUACCUCUUAGUGGGGAAUAACGAUGGGAAACCGUCGCUAAUACCGCAUAAGCCUGAGAAGGGAAAGCAGCAAUGCGCUGAGAGAGGAGUCCGCGGCCGAUUAGCUAGUUGGUGAGGUAACGGCCCACCAAGGCAAAGAUCGGUAGCCGGCCUGAGAGGGCACACGGCCACACUGGCACUGAAACACGGGCCAGACUCCUACGGGAGGCAGCAGUGGGGAAUCUUGCACAAUGGGGGAAACCCUGAUGCAGCGACGCCGCGUGAGCGAUGAAGCCCUUCGGGGUGUAAAGCUCUUUCGGCAGGGAAGAUUAUGACGGUACCUGCAGAAGCAGCUGCGGCUAACUACGUGCCAGCAGCCGCGGUAAUACGUAGGCAGCGAGCGUUGUUCGGAGUUACUGGGCGUAAAGGGUGUGUAGGCGGUUCUUCAAGUUUGGUGUGAAAUCUCCCGGCUCAACUGGGAGGGUGCGCCGAAUACUGAGGGACUAGAGUACGGGAGAGGAAAGUGGAAUUCCUGGUGUAGCGGUGAAAUGCGUAGAUAUCAGGAGGAACACCGGUGGUGUAAACGGCUUUCUGGACCGUAACUGACGCUGAGACACGAAAGCGUGGGUAGCAAACAGGAUUAGAUACCCUGGUAGUCCACGCCCUAAACGAUGCAUAUUUGGUGUGGGUCAUUCAGUUGAUCCGUGUCGGAGCUAACGCGUUAAAUAUGCCGCCUGGGGAGUACAGUCGCAAGGCUGAAACUCAAAGGAAUUGACGGGGGCCCGCACAAGCGGUGGAGCAUGUGGUUCAAUUCGACGCAACGCGAAGAACCUUACCUGGGCUCGAACGGCUGGUUAACGGCUUUGGAAACAGAGCUACUCCGCAAGGA